Molecule: ribosomal RNA, 495 nt
Filed under: uncultured bacterium
Lineage: Bacteria
Description: bacterial SSU rRNA
Rfam family: Bacterial small subunit ribosomal RNA
Source: RNAcentral
UGAACGCUAGCGACAGGCCUAACACAUGCAAGUCGAGGGGCAGCGACAAGGAGCAAUCUGAGGUGGCGACCGGCGCACGGGUGAGUAACACGUAUGCAACCUGCCUGUAAGCGGGGAAUAACCCGUUGAAAGACGGACUAAUACCGCAUAAUACUAAAUUACUGCAUGGUAAUUUAUUUAAACAUUUAUGGCUUACAGAUGGGCAUGCGCAUGAUUAGCUAGUUGGAGAGGUAACGGCUCCCCAAGGCAACGAUCAUUAGGGGUUCUGAGAGGAAGGUCCCCCACACUGGUACUGAGACACGGACCAGACUCCUACGGGAGGCAGCAGUGAGGAAUAUUGGUCAAUGGACGAGAGUCUGAACCAGCCAAGUCGCGUGCAGGAAGAAUGUCCCUAUGGAUUGUAAACUGCUUUUGCAGGGGAAUAAAGUGCAUCACGUGUGAUGUUUUGUAUGUACUCUGCGAAUAAGGAUCGGCUAACUCCGUGCCAGCCGCUGC